GAUGAACGCUGGCGGCGUGCCUAAUACAUGCAAGUCGAGCGAACAGACGAGGAGCUUGCUCCUCUGACGUUAGCGGCGGACGGGUGAGUAACACGUGGAUAACCUACCUAUAAGACUGGGAUAACUUCGGGAAACCGGAGCUAAUACCGGAUAAUAUAUUGAACCGCAUGGUUCAAUAGUGAAAGACGGUUUUGCUGUCACUUAUAGAUGGAUCCGCGCCGCAUUAGCUAGUUGGUAAGGUAACGGCUUACCAAGGCAACGAUGCGUAGCCGACCUGAGAGGGGGAUUCGGCAACAUGGAACUGAGAAAAGGUCCAGGCUCCUACGGGAGGGAGGAGGAGGGAAUCUUUCCGCAUGGGCGGAAGCCUGAACGAGCCACGGCGCGGGAGGUAUGAAGGUCUUCGGAUUCUAAAACUCUUGUAUUAGGGAAGAACAAAUGUGUAAGUAACUAUGCACGUCUUGACGGUACCUAAUCAGAAAGCCACGGCUAACUACGUG
Molecule: ribosomal RNA, 497 nt
Filed under: uncultured bacterium
Lineage: Bacteria
Description: partial 16S ribosomal RNA
Rfam family: Bacterial small subunit ribosomal RNA
Source: RNAcentral